GUUUUCUCUGCAGCAUCCUUGUAUGGAGCUUCAUCCCAGGGGCUUUCUGGUGCAGUAGAAAAAAUAUCCUCAAGUUCUACUGGUCGCAGGUUAUUAUCGUAAUCACUAUCGAACAAUUCGUAGAUUCCCUUCAAAAACUCGAUAGUUUCAUUUGUAAGCUCCACACUCUGAUCAGGAGCUCGUUUGAAGGUUGGAAUUAGCUCAUCAGCAAGUU
Molecule: unclassified non-coding RNA, 214 nt
Filed under: Hevea brasiliensis (rubber tree)
Lineage: Eukaryota; Viridiplantae; Streptophyta; Magnoliopsida; Malpighiales; Euphorbiaceae
Source: RNAcentral